RNAcentral lists this non-coding RNA (29 nucleotides) under Mus musculus (house mouse). The record is from RNAcentral. Lineage: Eukaryota; Metazoa; Chordata; Mammalia; Rodentia; Muridae.
UGAGAAGAAAUGAUGUGACAAUUCUUAUG